Molecule: ribosomal RNA, 537 nt
Filed under: uncultured bacterium
Lineage: Bacteria
Description: bacterial SSU rRNA
Rfam family: Bacterial small subunit ribosomal RNA
Source: RNAcentral
AGAUAAUAGAUACCCAGGUAGUCCACGCCCUAAACUAUGUUCGCUGGCUUUCCGGAGUAUCGACCCUCUAGGAGGCGAAAGCUAAACGCGUUAAGCGAACCGCCUGGGUAGUACGGCCGCAAGGCUAAAACUCAAAGGAAUAGACGGGGGCUUGCACAAGCGGUGGAGCGUGUGGCUUAAAUUCGUCGCUAAGCGAAGAACCUUACCAGGGCUAGAAAUCCUACUGCACGUCCAGCGAAAGCUAGAAAGCCUUCGAGGGUGUAGGACAGGUGAUGCAUGGCUGUCGUCAGUUCGUGGUUUGAAUCGUUCCCUUCAUGGGGUAACGAACGCAACCCUCGUUGCCUGUUACAAGUGUCAGGCGAGACUGCCCCCGUCACGGGGGGAGGAAGGUUGAGGAUGACGCCAAGUCAGCAUGUCCCUCUGAUGUCCUGGGCUGCACACGCGCUACAAUCGCAUUUACAGAGGGGCGCAAUAUCGCAAGAUGAGCAAAUCCCUAAAAGAUGCGCCAGUUCGGAUUGGGGUCUGCAACUCGACCCC